UAGGGAAUCUUCCGCAAUGGGCGAAAGCCUGCCGGAGCAACGCCGCGUGAGUGAUGAAGGUCUUCGGAUCGUAAAACUCUGUUAUUAGGGAAGAACAAAUGUGUAAGUAACUAUGCACGUCUUGACGGUACCUAAUCAGACAGCCACGGCUAACUACGUGCCAGCAGCCGCGGUAAUACGUAGGUGGCAAGCGUUAUCCGGAAUUAUUGGGCGUAAAGCGCGCGUAGGCGGUUUUUUAAGUCUGAUGUGAAAGCCCACGGCUCAACCGUGGAGGGUCAUUGGAAACUGGAAAACUUGAGUGCAGAAGAGGAAAGUGGAAUUCCAUGUGUAGCGGUGAAAUGCGCAGAGAUAUGGAGGAAAAACAGUGGCGAAGGCGACUUUCUGGUCUGUAACUGACGCUGAUGUGCGAAAGCGUGGGGAUCAAACAGG
RNAcentral lists this ribosomal RNA (429 nucleotides) under Actinomycetes bacterium. Its description in RNAcentral is "Actinobacteria bacterium partial 16S ribosomal RNA". It matches the Rfam family "Bacterial small subunit ribosomal RNA", at positions 355 to 776 of the family's 1533-position model. The record is from RNAcentral. Lineage: Bacteria; Bacillati; Actinomycetota; Actinomycetes.